Molecule: long non-coding RNA, 585 nt
Organism: Scylla paramamosain (green mud crab)
Lineage: Eukaryota; Metazoa; Arthropoda; Malacostraca; Decapoda; Portunidae
Exons: 3
Source: RefSeq, a predicted model, not a curated record
CUGAUUAGGUCUCGGUCUUGGUCCCGGUGGCCAGUCACUCAGCCGGCAGCAGAAAUAUCCUGUUAUUUGAGCAUUUUCCGUAUUUUGUGGCUAUGUUUGGAGGAAAUGGGAUAACAGGGCAGGUACUCCAUUCCAAAACGAGCAUAUUGAGGAGGCUGCGUUGGGAGAAGAAGAGAUGAUAAGGAGAUACGAAGCGAACAGAGAUGAGAAAUGCCUUUGAGCACUGGUGGUGAUGUCCUGAGGUCACUGCAACCACCACCAGUACAAGGGCAGGUCUGCUCUUAACCACAGCAAGGAAGAAGCUGUGCUCCCAAGAUGAUCAAGACUUCAGACAUGUCAAAGUUGGAUUGCUAAUCACACAAGCUGGCACACCAGGGCAGAAUCCACUACUUGUGUGUAAGCAUCCAGCUCACCCAGAUAUGAAGCAUUGAAAUGAUACUACAGGUCGUGCAUGACCUUGACAUUAAUAGCAAUAUUGUCAAAGAAUUGACAUUAAUAAAUUCAAGGCAUUUUAUUUAAUCCAAUAACUAUUAAUGUCAUAAUAAAUUCAAGGCAUUUUAUUUAAUCCAAUAAAUUAUUGGCGCA